Molecule: ribosomal RNA, 503 nt
Filed under: uncultured bacterium
Lineage: Bacteria
Description: partial 16S ribosomal RNA
Rfam family: Bacterial small subunit ribosomal RNA
Source: RNAcentral
AUUGAACGCUGGCGGCAGGCUUAACACAUGCAAGUCGAGCGGGGUGAUGGUGCUUGCACUAUCACUUAGAGGCGGACGGGUGAGUAAUGCUUAGGAAUCUGCCUAUUAGUGGGGGACAACAUCUCGAAAGGGAUGCUAAUACCGCAUACGUCCUACGGGAGAAAGCAGGGGAUCACUUGUGACCUUGCGCUAAUAGAUGAGCCUAAGUCGGAUUAGCUAGUUGGUGGGGGAAAGGCCUACCAAGGCGACGAUCUGUAGCGGGUCUGAGAGGAUGAUCCGCCACACUGGGACUGAGACACGGCCCAGACUCCUACGGGAGGCAGCAGUGGGGAAUAUUGGACAAUGGGGGGAACCCUGAUCCAGCCAUGCCGCGUGUGUGAAGAAGGCCUUAUGGUUGUAAAGCACUUUAAGCGAGGAGGAGGCUCUUUUGGUUAAUACCCAAGAUGAGUGGACGUUACUCGCAGAAUAAGCACCGGCUAACUCUGUGCCAGCAGCCGCCGUAA